UUGAACGCUGGCGGCGUGCCUAACACAUGCAAGUCGAGCGGCAGCGCGGUAGCAAUACUGGCGGCGAGCGGCGGACGGGUGAGCAAUGCUUGGGAAUCUGCCUAUCAGUGGGGGACAACCCGGGGAAACUCGGGCUAAUACCGCAUACGUUCUACGGAAGAAAGCGGGGGUCGCAAGACCUCGCGCUGAUAGAUGAGCCCAAGUCGGAUUAGCUAGUUGGUGAGGUAAAGGCUCACCAAGGCGACGAUCCGUAGCUGGUCUGAGAGGACGACCAGCCACACCGGAACUGAGACACGGUCCGGACUCCUACGGGAGGCAGCAGUGGGGAAUAUUGGACAAUGGGCGAAAGCCUGAUCCAGCGACGCCGCGUGGGUGAAGAAGGCCUGCGGGUUGUAAAGCCCUUUCGUUGGGGAAGAAAAGUGUCGACCUAAUACGUCGGCACCUUGACGUUACCCAAAGAAGAAGCACCGGCUAACUCUGU
This 481-nucleotide ribosomal RNA is filed under the name uncultured bacterium. RNAcentral describes it as "bacterial SSU rRNA". It matches the Rfam family "Bacterial small subunit ribosomal RNA", at positions 29 to 506 of the family's 1533-position model. The record is from RNAcentral.